This 236-nucleotide long non-coding RNA is filed under the name Lathyrus oleraceus (garden pea). RNAcentral's name for it is "Pisum sativum (pea) long non-coding RNA (PSAT_LNC024070)". Lineage: Eukaryota; Viridiplantae; Streptophyta; Magnoliopsida; Fabales; Fabaceae. The record is from RNAcentral.
UGAGGCCAAAUGACUCCUUAUAUAGGAGAUCAAUAACAGAAACCGGAAAGACGCAACUGUUCAGAAACGGUUACGUCGGUUGGGAAAGGAUUCAACUGUUCAAAAGAAAAUUUCGAACGGGGCGCUGCCCCGCACCUCACCAGGGGCUUCGCCCCUUGGAACCCCGUUUCAAUUAUUCACAUUCAAUUAUACGUUGGCUCGACGAGCGUGCACUCCGCACUACCCCUAACUCGUUU